GGUCACAUAGCAACUCAAGAAGGUCUUUUCUCAUUGGUUGUAAUGGGGCUAAGGACCAUUCAUUAUGUUGGCAAGAUCCUAGGGGUCCUAAGCUCAAACAGUGAAACUCAAAGUGCGCACAUCUAAUCCAAACCAUCAUCCACAGUUUCAAGUUCAUAGAGAAAGAAAGAAAGCAACUAAACUUUGGGAAAAACUCCAACAAUAACAAUGAUACUACAUGCUCAACUCAAACUGGUGCAAUAUCUUUUUUUUUCUUUUUUUUUUUUUCGUUUUUUUCUUUUUUUUCUUUUUUUUCUACAGCACCUUUCCUUUUUAAUCAACAUGCAAUCAUCAUCUACAAAAUAUCCCCACAAAUCGUCUCCCAAAACUGCUCCCAUCCCAAAAAACUGAACUGAUCAAUGCCACUGUUUGGCCAAACGGAUCAUAGAUCCUUAUCAUUUUACACAAGACAGCAGUUUGGGCAAACGGCACAUGUAAACACAGCUUAACUUUCUCUAGUAAUUAAUGGAAUGAAGUUCAAAAUUAGAC
This 528-nucleotide long non-coding RNA is filed under the name Salvia miltiorrhiza (redroot sage). RNAcentral's name for it is "long non-coding RNA (SMIL_LNC001367)". The record is from RNAcentral. Lineage: Eukaryota; Viridiplantae; Streptophyta; Magnoliopsida; Lamiales; Lamiaceae.